RNAcentral lists this ribosomal RNA (447 nucleotides) under uncultured bacterium. RNAcentral describes it as "bacterial SSU rRNA". It matches the Rfam family "Bacterial small subunit ribosomal RNA", at positions 329 to 793 of the family's 1533-position model. The record is from RNAcentral.
GGCCAGACUCCUACGGGAGGCAGCAGUGGGGAAUAUUGCACAAUGGGGGAAACCCUGAUGCAGCGACGCCGCGUGAGUGAAGAAGUAUUUCGGUAUGUAAAGCUCUAUCAGCAGGAAAGAAAAUGACGGUACCUGACUAAGAAGCCCCGGCUAACUACGUGCCAGCAGCCGCGGUAAUACGUAGGGGGCAAGCGUUAUCCGGAUUUACUGGGUGUAAAGGGAGCGUAGACGGUGAAGCAAGUCUGAAGUGAAAGGCGGGGGCUCAACCCCCGGACUGCUUUGGAAACUGUUUGACUGGAGUGCAGGAGAGGUAAGUGGAAUUCCUAGUGUAGCGGUGAAAUGCGUAGAUAUUAGGAGGAACACCAGUGGCGAAGGCGGCUUACUGGACCGUAACUGACGUUGAGGCUCGAAAGCGUGGGGAGCAAACAGGAUUAGAUACCCUCGUAA